UACGUAGGGUGCAAGCGUUAAUCGGAAUUACUGGGCGUAAAGCGUGCGCAGGCGGUUCGCUAAGACAGAUGUGAAAUCCCCCGGCUUAACCUGGGAACUGCGUCUGAUACUGGGAGGCUUGAGUAUGGGAGAGGGAUGUAGAAUUCCAGGUGUAGCGGUGAAAUGCGUAGAUAUCUGGAGGAAUACCGGUGGCGAAGGCGGCAUCCUGGACCAUUACUGACGCUGAGGCGCGAAAGCUAGGGGAGCAAACGGG
Molecule: ribosomal RNA, 253 nt
Filed under: uncultured bacterium
Lineage: Bacteria
Description: partial 16S ribosomal RNA
Rfam family: Bacterial small subunit ribosomal RNA
Source: RNAcentral